Molecule: ribosomal RNA, 478 nt
Filed under: uncultured bacterium
Lineage: Bacteria
Description: partial 16S ribosomal RNA
Rfam family: Bacterial small subunit ribosomal RNA
Source: RNAcentral
GACGAACGCUGGCGGCGUGCUUAACACAUGCAAGUCGAACGGUAAGGCCCUUCGGGGUACACGAGUGGCGAACGGGUGAGUAACACGUGGGUGAUCUGCCCUGCACUUCGGGAUAAGCCUGGGAAACUGGGUCUAAUACCGGAUAGGACCACUGCCUGCAUGGGUGGUGGUGGAAAGCUUUUGCGGUGUGGGAUGGGCCCGCGGCCUAUCAGCUUGUUGGUGGGGUGUUGGCCUACCAAGGCGACGACGGGUAGCCGGCCUGAGAGGGUGACCGGCCACACUGGGACUGAGAUACGGCCCAGACUCCUACGGGAGGCAGCAGGGGGGAAUAUUGCACAAUGGGCGCAAGCCUGAUGCAGCGACGCCGCGUGAGGGAUGACGGCCUUCGGGUUGUAAACCUCUUUCAGCACCGACGAAGCGCAAGUGACGGUAGGUGCAGAAGAAGGACCGGCCAACUACGUGCCAGCCGCCGCGGUAA